This 274-nucleotide ribosomal RNA is filed under the name uncultured prokaryote. Its description in RNAcentral is "partial 16S ribosomal RNA". It matches the Rfam family "Bacterial small subunit ribosomal RNA", at positions 524 to 798 of the family's 1533-position model. The record is from RNAcentral.
UACGUAGGGAGCAAGCGUUGUCCGGAAUUACUGGGCGUAAAGGGUGCGUAGGCGGUCUUUCAAGCCAGAAGUGAAAGGCUACGGCUCAACCGUAGUAAGCUUUUGGAACUGUAAGACUUGAGUGCAGGAGAGGAGAGUGGAAUUCCUAGUGUAGCGGUGAAAUGCGUAGAUAUUAGGAGGAACAUCAGUGGCGAAGGCGGCUUACUGGACUGUAACUGACACUGAGGCUCGAAAGCGUGGGGAGCAAACAGGAUUAGAUACCCGGGUAGUCCCU